AAGAAGUUGUUCGUCAAUCCGGUAAACUCGUUUCAACUCUUACGUGCUAAUAGUAUUUUUUUGUGUUUUUAGUUUGCUUAAUUCUAAUUAUUAUGGCACUUUCGUUGAAAAAUAUGUUCGGUAAAGGAAAAGGUAAAAUCGGUGAAGUAGUGGCCAAAAAACUCCCCCGCCCCCGGCUCCCCGACCUAGAAAAGAUAAGCAAGUUCAAAGUAGUAGCCAACCUUGAAAUCCAAUGAACCCUUCGGAAUCCUUGAUAGUGAUCACCCUUGUUUUCAAUUUAGCGAUAUUGAUUNNN
Molecule: long non-coding RNA, 295 nt
Filed under: Nicotiana benthamiana
Lineage: Eukaryota; Viridiplantae; Streptophyta; Magnoliopsida; Solanales; Solanaceae
Description: long non-coding RNA (NBEN_LNC035332)
Source: RNAcentral